AUCGUGUAAUUUUAACCUUCUUGGAUGAACCUAAGGCUAAUGUUUUUAUGCUUAAAUUCAGCUGCUCCUCUCCCAAUAUGGACCGGAAUGUUACUUUUUUAAGGACAAAGCCAUUAAAGAGUCAGCAAAUCCUUAAAGAAAUCAUCUCAAAGAGGGUGACAGCCAGAGGCAGCAGUGCAGCCAGUAAGCAGAGCCUUGCUGCUGCCAUUCUGAUCGCCUGUGGUGAGAAGCAGGUCACGGCUCAACAAAGGGAAGUGAAAAGGCGCAAACUGGACGCCUUACACAAGAAAGUCUUCCAAUAAAGUCCAAAGGAAGUUCCAGGGACCUGCAGCCUCAUGUA
Molecule: long non-coding RNA, 340 nt
Organism: Oryzias latipes (Japanese medaka)
Lineage: Eukaryota; Metazoa; Chordata; Actinopteri; Beloniformes; Adrianichthyidae
Source: RefSeq, a predicted model, not a curated record